This 477-nucleotide ribosomal RNA is filed under the name uncultured anaerobic ammonium-oxidizing bacterium. Its description in RNAcentral is "bacterial SSU rRNA". It matches the Rfam family "Bacterial small subunit ribosomal RNA", at positions 365 to 832 of the family's 1533-position model. The record is from RNAcentral.
UUCGCAAUGCCCGAAAGGGUGACGAUGCGACGCCGCGUGAGCGAAGAAGGCCCUAGGGUUGUAAAGCUCUGUCGAGGGUUAUGAAAUAUAGAUGGGUUAAUACCCCAUUUAUUUGACAAAAGCCCAAAAGGAAGCCACGGCUAACUCUGUGCCAGCAGCCGCGGUAAUACAGAGGUGGCGAGCGUUGUUCGGUAUUAUUGGGCGUAAAGAGCACGUAGGUGGUUUUGUAAGUCAGGUGUGAAAGCCUUCUGUUCAAAGGAAGAACGGCAUCUGAAACUGCAGAUCUUGAGUGUAGGAGGGGAGAGUGGAACUCCUGGUGGAGCGGUGAAAUGCGUAGAUAUCAGAAGGAACGUCGGCGGCGAAAGCGACUCUCUGGCCUAUUACUGACACUGAGUGUGCGAAAGUUAGGGGAGCAAACGGGAUUAGAUACCCCGGUAGUCCUAACCGUAAACGAUGGGCACUAAGUAGAGGGGUUUU